GGUCUGAUAGUCCAGCGGUUAAGAACAGUUGCCUGGAAAAUGAAAGACUCGGGUUCGAUUCCCGGUCGGUGCU
This 73-nucleotide transfer RNA is filed under the name Camponotus floridanus (Florida carpenter ant). It matches the Rfam family "tRNA". From Rfam's summary of the family: Transfer RNA (tRNA) molecules are approximately 80 nucleotides in length. Their secondary structure includes four short double-helical elements and three loops (D, anti-codon, and T loops). The record is from Rfam by way of RNAcentral. Lineage: Eukaryota; Metazoa; Arthropoda; Insecta; Hymenoptera; Formicidae.